GACAGAGGUGCCGAGCGUUAGGCGGAAUCACUGGGCUUAAAGCGUGUGUAGGCGGACCGUUAAGUGCCUUGUGAAAUCCCCCGGCUCAACCGGGGAACGGCUGGGCAUACUGGCGGUCUUGAGCCACCUAGGGGCGAGCGGAACAAGCGGUGGAGUGGUGAAAUGCGUAGAUAUCGCUUGGAACGCCGACGGUGAAAACAGCUCGCUGGGGGUGUGCUGACGCUGAGACACGAAAGCCAGGGGAGCGAACGGG
Molecule: ribosomal RNA, 253 nt
Filed under: uncultured bacterium
Lineage: Bacteria
Description: partial 16S ribosomal RNA
Rfam family: Bacterial small subunit ribosomal RNA
Source: RNAcentral